UUGGAGGGCAAGUCUGGUGCCCGCAGCCGCGGUAAUUCCAGCUCCAAUAGCGUAUAUUAAAGUUGUUGCAGUUAAAAAGCUCGUAGUUGAAUUUCGAGACCGGUUUACUGGUCGUGCUUUUGUACGUACUGGUAUUAUUGGUUUCUCCUUUCUGACGAACUAUAAUGCCAUUAAUUUGGUGUUUUAGGGAAUCAGGACUGUUACUUUGAAAAAAUUAGAGUGUUUAAAGCAGGCUCACGCUCGAAUACAUUAGCAUGGAAUAACGGAAUAGGACGUUUGAUUCUAUUUUGUCGGUUUCUAGGAUCGACGUAAUGAUUAAUAGGGAUAGUUGGGGGCAUUAGUAUUCAAUUGUCAGAGGUGAAAUUCUUGGAUUUAUUGAAGACUAACUACUGCGAAAGCAUUUGCCAAGGAUGUUUUCAUUAAUCAAGAACGAAAGUUAGGGGAUCGAAGACGAUCAGAUACCGUCGUAGUCUUAACCAUAAACUAUGCCGACUAGGGAUCGGAUGAUGUUAAUUUUUUAAUGACUCAUUCGGCGCCUUACGGGAAAC
RNAcentral lists this ribosomal RNA (548 nucleotides) under uncultured Glomeromycotina. RNAcentral's name for it is "SSU rRNA". It matches the Rfam family "Eukaryotic small subunit ribosomal RNA", at positions 548 to 1098 of the family's 1831-position model. Lineage: Eukaryota; Fungi; Glomeromycota. The record is from RNAcentral.